UUCCGGUUGAUCCUGCCGGAGGCUACCGCUAUUGGAGUUCGAUUAAGCCAUGCGAGUCGCGAGUCUUAGGGACUCGGUGUACCGCUCAGUAACACGUGGGUAACCUGCCCUAUGCUGGGGGAUAACCUCGGGAAACUGAGAAUAAUACCCCAUAGUUCACCACGCCUGGAACGGUGGGUGGAUGAAAGCUCCGGCGGCAUAGGAUGGGCCUGCGGCGUAUCAGGUUGUAGGGGGUGUAAUGUACCCUCUAGCCAUCUACGCGUACGGGUGUUGGGAGACAUCGCCCGGAGAUGGAUUCUGAGACACGAAUCCAGACCCUACGGGGUGCAGCAGGCGCGAAAACUUGGCAAUGCGAGCAAUCGUGACCAGGGAACUCCAAGUGCAUCGGGUAAGACCGAUGCUUUUCUUGACUCUUCAAAGGUCUUGGAAUAAGGGGUGGGUAAGGACGGUGCCAGCCGCCGCGGUAAUACCGGCGCCUCAAGUGGUAGUCGCUUUUAUUGGGCCUAAAACGUCCGUAGCCGGUUUGGUACAUUCGUGGGUAAAUCAAGGCGCUCAACGUCUUGAAUUCUGCGAGCACGGCCAGACUUGGGACCGGGUGAGGUGUGGGGUACUCUCAGGGUAGGGGUAAAAUCCUGUCAUCCUGAGAGGACCACCUGUUGCGAAGGCGCCACACUAGAACGGAUCCGACGGUCAGGGACGAAGCCUAGGGGCACGAACCGGAUUAGAUACCCGGGUAGUCCUAGGUGUAAACGCUGUGGACUUGAUGUUGGGAGUGCUCCGAGCACCCUCAGUGUCGAAGCGAAGGUGAUAAGUCCACUGCCUGGGGAGUACGGUCGCAAGGCUGAAACUUAAAGGAAUUGGCGGGGGAGCACUGCAACCUGAGGAUUGUGCGGUUUAAUUGGAUUCAACGCCGG
Molecule: ribosomal RNA, 914 nt
Filed under: uncultured marine archaeon
Lineage: Archaea
Description: bacterial SSU rRNA
Rfam family: Archaeal small subunit ribosomal RNA
Source: RNAcentral